Molecule: ribosomal RNA, 253 nt
Filed under: uncultured bacterium
Lineage: Bacteria
Description: partial 16S ribosomal RNA
Rfam family: Bacterial small subunit ribosomal RNA
Source: RNAcentral
UACGGAGGGAGCUAGCGUUGUUCGGAAUUACUGGGCGUAAAGCGCACGUAGGCGGCUUUGUAAGUUAGAGGUGAAAGCCCGGGGCUCAACCCCGGAAUUGCCUUUAAGACUGCAUCGCUAGAAUUGUGGAGAGGUAAGUGGAAUUCCGAGUGUAGAGGUGAAAUUCGUAGAUAUUCGGAAGAACACCAGUGGCGAAGGCGACUUACUGGACACAUAUUGACGCUGAGGUGCGAAAGCGUGGGGAGCAAACAGG